Long non-coding RNA from Epinephelus moara (kelp grouper), 1609 nucleotides. RefSeq lists it as uncharacterized. Lineage: Eukaryota; Metazoa; Chordata; Actinopteri; Perciformes; Serranidae. The record is from RefSeq and is a predicted model, not a curated record. The transcript has 3 exons.
GCCAUCACAGAGUCCAGGACGAGCUCACCAAAAACCUCCUCUUCACAUCCAGAUCAUCAACACUCUCUUCAUCUCAUCUCAUCCUCAUCACCUCUACCACCGCCAGUCUCUACAACCUGAGGAGGGUUCCCUUUUUUUUUUUUUUUACAAUGGAUUCAUCCAGCCAUCCAUUUUCUAACCGCUUAUCCUCUUGAGGGUCGCGGGGGCUGGAGCCUAUCCCAGCUGACACUGGGUGAGAGGCGGGGUUCACCCUGGACAGGUCACCAGACUAUCACAGGACGGACACAUAGAGACAGACAACCAUUCACACUCACAUUCACACCUACGGACAAUUUAGAGUUAUCAAUUAGGGGCCGUUUAUACGACAACGAUUUCAGUAAAAAUGGAAAAGUCUGUCCUUUGCGUUUUAAAAAACUUCUGCGUUUAUAUGACGACGUUAUUGAAACGAUCCCCGUUCACACGGAGCCGCAAAAUCUACUGGAAACGCUGUAGUAUGCACGCCAGGCCAAUGGGUGGCAGUGUAAAUUUGCAAAGCAACACCACGGCAUGACGCCAUGCGCCUGCGCUGAAGCGCCUUCCUCUACAACGCGGUGAUUACAAACCAAAACAAAGAAGACACAAUGGUGAAAGCAUGCACAGAUAACUUUGUCUGGAUGGACGACGAGGUGGAGUUGCUACAGUAACAGAUCUACACUUCACUUCAAAUCAACAGGAUUCUGCACAGCCACAUAGGACUCGUCCUGCUGUUGCUCCAGAUCCCACAUUUGCUGCACAUGUGCUGCAAAGAGGCAAAAACAUACAUAAGACCAGUGAUGGAGGAAGUAUUCAGAUCCUUUACUGAGAUGGUGCUGAUGUUUCUUUCCUGAGGUCAGCAGAGGUCUCAGUCAGCGGCCUUUGGCAGGAAGUUCAUCAAAACAAAGAUGGAAGCCAUCAGCGCUGUUGGCGUUUAAAUCAAAUGUCUGGACAGACACUUCUGUUAACACAGAAGGAAAGAAGGACUUGGAUAUGACAGAUGUGAUUUACAGCAGUGUCAUAUGAGAAUAAAAUACUCUGGGAACACUACGAACAUGAGGGCUCAUCUCACACGUCACCAUCCAGAGAUAGUCAGCACGUUUACAUGCAUGCAGUAGUCGAGCUAAGCUCAGUCAAGUCAGACUUCUAGUCUUGUCUGAGUAUACGAUAGGCGGCGCUGUGUCCUUUUUAAUACAGUGCGUAUUGAUCUAGUUCCGGUUCUUGUUCAGAAACUUUUAAAAUAAAUCCGUGUUUCGUGUUUUCCGACCAUCCAUAAACUUCACAAUGUUUAGCUCCUUUAGUUGUCGGAGCGUGAAUGUAGUUUCCUCGUCCGUCCAGAAGUGCAUCUUCUGCUUCUUGGAGUUACUGAACUGCUGCUACAUCAUCUCCUCCUUCUUCUGGAUGAAAGCCCACGAAAGAAAAAGUGGUGCUUACUAAGUGGAUACCUGCAGCAAUAGUUCAAUUUUCAAUCAAAUUAUCUAGGUGUGUUAGUCGAGCUACGGAUAGUCCAAUUUCAGUCGGACUAAGCCAAUAAUUUGAUUUUCUCAAGCUGCAUGUAAACGUACUGACUGUUAGCCUCUGACGGCCAAGCUCUGCU